UACAGAGGUCUCAAGCGUUGUUCGGAUUCAUUGGGCGUAAAGGGUGCGUAGGUGGCGCGUUAAGUCAGGUGUGAAAUUUCGGAGCUUAACUCCGAAACUGCAUUUGAUACUGGCGUGCUUGAGGACUGGAGAGGAGACUGGAAUUCAUGGUGUAGCAGUGAAAUGCGUAGAGAUCAUGAGGAAGACCAGUGGCGAAGGCGGGUCUCUGGGCCGAUACUGACGCUGAGGAGCGAAAGCGUGGGGAGCGAACAGG
Molecule: ribosomal RNA, 253 nt
Filed under: uncultured bacterium
Lineage: Bacteria
Description: partial 16S ribosomal RNA
Rfam family: Bacterial small subunit ribosomal RNA
Source: RNAcentral